AUGAAUGAAAAAAAUUACACCUUUAGAAAAAGAGUUGUUAGAAAAAAGCCUUGGCUGCAUGUAGGGGAAGUGACAGCACAGAAGAGACCAGAGAAGAGCCUCCUGGAGGAGAGCCUACGCUUUGACCAUGCUGUCCGGAUGGCACCUGUGAUUACAGAGGAAACACCUUUCAACUGGAAGAUAUCAUUAAGCAGAGGAUAAGAGAUCAGGA
RNAcentral lists this long non-coding RNA (211 nucleotides) under Homo sapiens (human). Its description in RNAcentral is "non-protein coding lnc-GOLGA8S-3:1". Lineage: Eukaryota; Metazoa; Chordata; Mammalia; Primates; Hominidae. The record is from RNAcentral.